RNAcentral lists this ribosomal RNA (496 nucleotides) under uncultured bacterium. RNAcentral's name for it is "partial 16S ribosomal RNA". It matches the Rfam family "Bacterial small subunit ribosomal RNA", at positions 28 to 506 of the family's 1533-position model. The record is from RNAcentral.
GAUGAACGCUGGCGGCGUGCCUAAUACAUGCAAGUCGAGCGAACAGACGAGGAGCUUGCUCCUCUGACGUUAGCGGCGGACGGGUGAGUAACACGUGGAUAACCUACCUAUAAGACUGGGAUAACUUCGGGAAACCGGAGCUAAUACCGGAUAAUAUAUUGAACCGCAUGGUUCAAUAGUGAAAGACGGUUUUGCUGUCACUUAUAGAUGGAUCCGCGCCGCAUUAGCUAGUUGGUAAGGUAACGGCUUACCAAGGCGACGAUGCGUAGCCGACCUGAGAGGGUGAUCGGCCACACUGGAACUGAGACACGGUCCAGACUCCUACGGGAGGCAGCAGUAGGGAAUCUUCCGCAAUGGGCGAAAGCCUGACGGAGCAACGCCGCGUGAGUGAUGAAGGUCUUCGGAUCGUAAAACUCUGUUAUUAGGGAAGAACAAAUGUGUAAGUAACUAUGCACGUCUUGACGGUACCUAAUCAGAAAGCCACGGCGAACUACGU